This is a non-coding RNA of Cinara cedri, 830 nucleotides long. NCBI's taxonomy places the organism in Eukaryota, Metazoa, Arthropoda, Insecta, Hemiptera, Aphididae. The record is from the annotation of a GenBank genome assembly.
AUACGUUUGUAAUAACGUUCGGUCUAAAAUAAACGGACUGUUCCACGUGCACCGCAGUGUCGGCGCGUUAUACGGAAUUCAUUCGUUAGGGUGGUUUUUUUAUUUUUUUUUUAUCACGAUACGCGCACCAGUUGCUGUAUAAUAAGCGUUAUACAUGUAUAUAUAUAUAUAUAUAAUCAUUUCGGACUCGGCGACAGCACGCACUACACACUUAUCGACCGUAAACAUUAUGUACAGACCAAAUAGAUUGUCUCCGUAAUUUGAAUUUUAUUUUUCGCCUUUCGCUUUCAAACGGCGUUACGUGUAAAGUGGUUUUUUUUUUUUUUUUUUUACUUAUAUUCGCGAUCCCGUACAUUAACAUUGUAGCUAUAAAGAACAGUGAUGCGCCCGAGGAUAGAAUAUCCUAUUUUUAGUCCGUGAUUGACUACUUAUUAUUAGUGCGACUAUCGUCCGGCGAGUGUAGAUUUGUACAGUUAUACGUGAAUAGUGUAGUUUCAGCAGUCUCAUUUCACACUAAAUUUAACACGAAACUAAACGAAGCGUGAGAUUCGCCGUCCUUCAAAACCCCACAUUUUGAUGUCACUCGAUUUUCGCGAUUAUUAUGCGCCGCCGGCCUUUGGAAUUCUCGAAAUCGUACAACGUCAUCAACGGGUAGGAAUUUUCCGGGACGAAAAAUCUAACUAGAAAACUGUUUUCCCGUCAAACGAGAUAUCUCGUGAGUUUCUACGAAACAUAUAUCUAGCUGCCGUAAGUACGUGUACAUUUUUGAGCCUCGCGUUCGCAAAAACGUGAAAUGGGUUUACCAUUUCCAAAGUUUGUACGGAAACACC